UCUCACACUCUUCCCCACUCACACACACGCACACCAGCAACAACACACACAGUAGCAGUGAAACAGAAAACAAAGAAAGAAAGGGAAGGGGAAAGCAGAAUCAGGGAAGGGGAGAAGAGAGGGAGAUCUGAGAGACGAAAGAUUCAGAGAGGAUGGAGACGCCGUCAUCCUUGUCGCCGUUUGUGGAGCCGCGAGGAGUGUCGCUGUCGAAGCCACGCCGUUCGUCCCUGCCCAGUCGCCGUUCUGCCGUCCAUCAACCACGUUCCGUCGCCUGAGAAGAACCAUGAAGAUGAGAGAGAGCUCGUGUGCGAAAGGUAGCGGCGCUGUGCCUCCGUCACGCCACUAUCACCGUCGAACUGCUUUGCUGUUGCUAGCUCUGUCACGACUAAUCUGCCGCCGCCACUGUUAGAGUUUGUCACCGCCACUUUUGCCAAUGCCGGCGAGCACGAAGAGAGAGAGAGAUAGGAGUUUUCAUAGCAGAGAGAACGUGACAGGGGAGCCCUUGUUGAAGCUAGUCACUGCCGCUGAGAUGCCAUCGCUGCUGCCUCCAUUUCCGCCACAGAUGCCCUCGGUGCUGCCACUAGAAGGUCGUCGGAAUUAGUUAGAGCUGCCGUUCUGAUUCUGCUCUGUUUCGGUUGAUGUCAUCGUCGCCGUUCUGGUCGCCAAAGAACUAUCCUUGGAGCCGCCACUGUCCUGUGAAUUACUCCGCUGCCGCCGCCAUUGGAGGUAGGUGUCGUUGGUUGUGUUCGAAAGAAUGAAGCUGUUGCGUUGCUGGUUGCGGCUCAGCCAAUCGUCACGUCCCAACCGCGCCUUCAAUUUAGUUUCUGCAAAAUUUGAAAGUUGAGAAACCGUCCUCCUUCAGAAACCCGUGCCCUGCUCCUCCUCUUUCAGAAAGCUUCACGCCGUUUUCUCACCGUCGCCCUU
This is a long non-coding RNA of Arachis duranensis, 924 nucleotides long. RefSeq lists it as uncharacterized. Lineage: Eukaryota; Viridiplantae; Streptophyta; Magnoliopsida; Fabales; Fabaceae. The record is from RefSeq and is a predicted model, not a curated record. The transcript has 3 exons.